Molecule: non-coding RNA, 72 nt
Organism: Ictidomys tridecemlineatus (thirteen-lined ground squirrel)
Lineage: Eukaryota; Metazoa; Chordata; Mammalia; Rodentia; Sciuridae
Source: Rfam
UGGGGUGUGGCUCAGUGGUCAAGUGCUUGCCUGGCGUGCAUGAGGGCCUGGGUUCCAUCCCCAGUAUCUAAA